RNAcentral lists this long non-coding RNA (591 nucleotides) under Mytilus galloprovincialis (Mediterranean mussel). Lineage: Eukaryota; Metazoa; Mollusca; Bivalvia; Mytilida; Mytilidae. The record is from RNAcentral.
UUAUUAUACCCCCGCUUUAAAAAAGGGGGGGGUAUACUGUUUUACCUCUGUCUGUCCGUCCGUCCGUCAGUCCGUCAGUCCGUCCGUCAGUCCGUCAGUCCGUCAGUCAGUCCGUCCCAUGAAACUUUCGUCACAUUUUUCUCAGGAACUGCACAUCCACCUUUUCUGUAAUUUGGUAUCAACAUUUAUAUAUGUCAGCCAUACCGUGUGAUGCGUUUUCAGAUUCAUCACUUGACAACUUCCUGUUUACCGAACACUUGUCUGAUUUUACACAUGAUAGCCAAGUUGAAAAUUUUCGUCACAUUUUUCUCAGGAACUACAAUACAAGGAUUUCUGAAAUUUGGUUUCAGGAUUUAUAUAAGUCAGCUAUACCGUGUGAUGCGUUUUCAGAUUCAUCACUCGACAACUUCCUGUUUACCGAACACUUGUAUGAUUUUACACAUGAUAGCCAAGUUGAAAAUUUUCGUCACAUUUUUCUCAGGAACUACAAUACAAGGAUUUCUGAAAUUUGGUUUCAAGAUUUAUAUAAGUCAGCUAUACCGUGUGAUGCGUUUUCAGAUUCAUCACUCGACAACUUCGUGUUUACCGAAC